AGAAAAUGAAAACUCAUAGAUAUCUUUAAACUAAUUGGAUACCUUAUAAAGAUUAUAGCAAAUGGGUGUGGUAUUUUUAUGUGGCAACAUAAGAAUUUUAGCCAUCAAACUAGCACUAUUCUACAGUAAUGUUGAAGGUGGAUGAAGUAUAUCGAAUGAGUUUAUGUUGCACAGAAUACAAAAAGUGGAAGGCUGAAUAAAAAACAAGCUCCUGUUCAAGUGACCUCACUGCUUUCUGAUGACCCCCACUGGCUAUGCCACAUUUCUGGUGCUGAAUGGAUGCACAACACGUCCGUACUCAUCUGGGCUUCGAUGCAGUUGUUCAAUUUGAAAAGUAAAGCAGUACUUUAAUGGUCCCUUCAGUUCUCACACUCAGUGUUUCAAUAUUUGUCCUGUUCUACCUGGCUUGUAAUCAAUCCUAAAACUUCCUCACAUUUCCAGAUGAUGGAAUGAACAAUCCUGCGUAUGGCUUCCAAACUGAAAACUCAGAACUUAAGGCUCUGGUCUGAAGUGGCCACAGUUCAUCUCUGGCCUUGACAAGCCAUUUGUUGGCCGUGGAACUCAUUACUUGAAAGAGAUUUGCUACAGCUCCCGUUAUGGUGCCUUUAGAAGAAAUAAAGAUCUCCUGCCUCACUUCCAAUA
Homo sapiens (human) is the source of this 642-nucleotide long non-coding RNA. Ensembl annotates it as long intergenic non-protein coding RNA 1924. NCBI's taxonomy places the organism in Eukaryota, Metazoa, Chordata, Mammalia, Primates, Hominidae. The record is from Ensembl.